This 465-nucleotide ribosomal RNA is filed under the name uncultured bacterium. RNAcentral describes it as "partial 16S ribosomal RNA". It matches the Rfam family "Bacterial small subunit ribosomal RNA", at positions 28 to 507 of the family's 1533-position model. The record is from RNAcentral.
GUCGAACGCUGGCGGCGUGCUUAACACAUGCAAGUCGAACGGAAAGGCCCUGCUUGCAGGGUACUCGAGUGGCGAACGGGUGAGUAACACGUGGGUGAUCUGCCCUGCACUUCGGGAUAAGCCUGGGAAACUGGGUCUAAUACCGGAUAGGAGCCAUUUUUAGUGGGAUGGUUGGAAAGUUUUUUCGGUGUUGGAUGAGCUCGCGGCCUAUCGGCUUGUUGGUGGGGUAAUGGCCUACCAAGGCGGCGACGGGUAGCCGGCCUGCGAGGGUGGACGGCGACAUUGGGACUGAGAGACGGCCCAGGCACCUACGGGAGGCAGCAGGGGGGAAUCUUGCACAAUGGGCGCAAGCCUGGUGCAGCGAGGCCGCGUGGGGGAUGACGGCCUUCGGGUUGUAAACUCCUUUCGCUAGGGACGAAGCUUUUUGUGACGGUACCUAGAUAAGAAGCACCGGCUAACUACGUG